CUGGGCUAUGUGGUGGAAUAUGUGUGCACCCCACCCUGUGAGGGAUAAAUCGGGAGUCAUUAUGAGGGAUGGAGCAUCCUGGAGAAAGGAGACUCCUGUCCAACAUAGGAUAGAGUCUCUGACUCUGAAAGGCCGAGGGAUAGGAAGUAAGCAACGGUGAGCUGCGUGAAUCGAAGCACUUUGUUGAGCGUUGAGGCUUUGAGAAGACAAUCGUUGAGGGUUUGAAUUCCUAGGGGCUGGAGAGUAGCCCUUGAGUCCUUCAUUAAAUGAAGUACAUCGCUGGUCGUGGAGGCAAAGAGUUUGUCAUCGUCGAAGGGAAGAUCUUCAAUGGUACUCUGGACCUCUUGAAGAAAGGAAGAGGAGGAGAACCAUGAACCUCAGCG
This is a long non-coding RNA of Mauremys mutica (yellowpond turtle), 383 nucleotides long. RefSeq lists it as uncharacterized. NCBI's taxonomy places the organism in Eukaryota, Metazoa, Chordata, Testudines, Geoemydidae. The record is from RefSeq and is a predicted model, not a curated record. The transcript is spliced from 3 exons.